Hevea brasiliensis (rubber tree) is the source of this 93-nucleotide small nucleolar RNA. RefSeq annotates it as small nucleolar RNA R24. The transcript has a single exon. NCBI's taxonomy places the organism in Eukaryota, Viridiplantae, Streptophyta, Magnoliopsida, Malpighiales, Euphorbiaceae. The record is from RefSeq and is a predicted model, not a curated record.
UUUGCGGUGAUGAGCUAUUAACAUGUAAGAAGAACUCUUUAACGCUGAGUUUCUUCUAUGAAAUAUACUUGUUACGCUUGGCUUCUGAGCUUC